AGUAGGUGGCCAGUUAGCUCAGUUGGUAGAGCGGGCACCCAUAUGUAGAGGAUUAUUCCUCGACGCAGAAGGUCCAGGGUUUGUGUCAGACCUGUGAUGGUUUUCUACAUGUCUCCCCCCUCUUUCUCCUCUUUGAUAUCUGACCUUUCCUCCCUAAUACAG
Etheostoma spectabile (orangethroat darter) is the source of this 162-nucleotide long non-coding RNA. RefSeq lists it as uncharacterized. The record is from RefSeq and is a predicted model, not a curated record. The transcript is spliced from 3 exons. Lineage: Eukaryota; Metazoa; Chordata; Actinopteri; Perciformes; Percidae.